CGUAGGUGGCAAGCGUUAUCCGGAAUUAUUGGGCGUAAAGCGCUCGCAGGCGGUUUCUUAAGUCUGAUGUGAAAGCCCACGGCUCAACCGUGGAGGGUCAUUGGAAACUGGGAGACUUGAGUGCAGAAGAGGAGAGUGGAAUUCCACGUGUAGCGGUGAAAUGCGUAGAGAUGUGGAGGAACACCAGUGGCGAAGGCGACUCUCUGGUCUGUAACUGACGCUGAGGAGCGAAAGCGUGGGGAGCAAACAGGAUUAGAUACCCUGGUAGUCCACGCCGUAAACGAUGAGUGCUAAGUGUUAGAGGGUUUCCGCCCUUUAGUGCUGAAGUUAACGCAUUAAGCACUCCGCCUGGGGAGUACGGUCGCAAGACUG
RNAcentral lists this ribosomal RNA (372 nucleotides) under uncultured organism. Its description in RNAcentral is "bacterial SSU rRNA". It matches the Rfam family "Bacterial small subunit ribosomal RNA", at positions 526 to 896 of the family's 1533-position model. The record is from RNAcentral.